UACGUAGGGGGCUAGCGUUGUCCGGAAUCAUUGGGCGUAAAGCGCGUGUAGGCGGCCCGGUAAGUCCGCUGUGAAAGUCGGGGGCUCAACCCCUCGGAAGCCGGUGGAUACUGUCGGGCUGGAGUACGGAAGAGGCGAGUGGAAUUCCUGGUGUAGCGGUGAAAUGCGCAGAUAUCAGGAGGAACACCUAUUGCGAAGGCAGCUCGCUGGGACGUUACUGACGCUGAGACGCGAAAGCGUGGGGAGCAAACAGG
Molecule: ribosomal RNA, 254 nt
Filed under: uncultured bacterium
Lineage: Bacteria
Description: partial 16S ribosomal RNA
Rfam family: Bacterial small subunit ribosomal RNA
Source: RNAcentral